GUUUGAGCCAUUCUUGGGAAUGAGAUAGCUUUCACCUCUUUCUCCUUAAUAAUAUCCUUCAAUUCUUAAGCUCGUUCUAUUAACUGCGCAAAUGUCGUUAUCCCGACAGGAGCAAGAGGAAUUCGAAAUUCAUAACGCAAUCCUUUUAGGCAAAUAGAGACUUGUUUUUUGGGAAUAGGCUCCGUGCAUCGCCAAGAGUCUGAAUCGAGCAAUGAACUCCUGGGCUUUCUCUGUCG
This 236-nucleotide long non-coding RNA is filed under the name Oryza brachyantha (malo sina). RNAcentral's name for it is "long non-coding RNA (OBRA_LNC003479)". The record is from RNAcentral. Lineage: Eukaryota; Viridiplantae; Streptophyta; Magnoliopsida; Poales; Poaceae.